GUGCUCAAUUCAGCAGCACAUAUACUAAAAUUGGAAUACAGAGAAGAUUAGCAUGGCCCCAUGCAAGGAUGACAUAUUUUUUCAAUUGUGCAAAUUGGG
This 99-nucleotide small nuclear RNA is filed under the name Nannospalax galili (Upper Galilee mountains blind mole rat). Lineage: Eukaryota; Metazoa; Chordata; Mammalia; Rodentia; Spalacidae. The record is from RNAcentral.